Perca fluviatilis (European perch) is the source of this 467-nucleotide long non-coding RNA. RefSeq lists it as uncharacterized. The record is from RefSeq and is a predicted model, not a curated record. The transcript is spliced from 3 exons. Lineage: Eukaryota; Metazoa; Chordata; Actinopteri; Perciformes; Percidae.
UCUGGCAAAGGGGGGAAAAAAACCUCAUAGGGCUUUUAUUUUGAAACUCAGCUACUUCUCUGCCCGGAAGCUCUAUAGUCUUCACUGUGGCUAACUGAUAAUAUCUUCUAAUCCAUCCAUCAGACGGCGGAGUAAAAGGCGCCAGUGUUUAGUUCCCUAAAAGAAAGAAAGGUCCCAAACUGCUGGAUGUGGUUUUAAAAGCUGAAACGAAGCUACACAGAGCAGUUCUGUUGUUGAAACGCGGUGGGCCAGCAGUGAGUGUGAAGAGAGACUUUUCUAAACUCUGACAUGGACUCUGAGAACAGUCAGCACACACAGUCCUCUCACUGUUCCAUCCACCAAGCUUUACCUCCAGAUGUUCUGAAAGUGAUUGUUGGUGAAGAGGAGCAGCAGGAGUGUAGCUCCAGUGUGGACCAGCAGGAGCCAGAGCCCCCCCCACACAUUAAAGAGGAACAGGAGGAACAGUG